GGACUACUGGGGUUUCUAAUCCCGUUUGAUCCCCUGGCUUUCGCGCCUCAGCGUCACAGGCACCCCAGACAGUCGCUUUCGCCACCGGCGUUCCUCCCGAUAUCUACGCAUUUCACCGCUCCACCGGGAGUUCCACUGUCCCCUGAUGCCGUCUAGCGCGGCCGUAGCCCCGGCUGUUCCUCGGUUGGGCCGAGGGAUUUCACCGAAACCGUACCGCACCGCCUACGCGCCCUUUAAGCCCAGUGAUACCGAGCAACGCUUGCCACCUCUGUAUUACCGCGGCUGCUGGCAC
RNAcentral lists this ribosomal RNA (292 nucleotides) under uncultured bacterium. Its description in RNAcentral is "partial 16S ribosomal RNA". The record is from RNAcentral. RNAcentral also lists the same sequence under 1 other name.